GACGAACGCUGGCGGCGUGCUUAACACAUGCAAGUCGAACGAAGAGCGAUGGAAGCUUGCUUCUAUCAAUCUUAGUGGCGAACGGGUGAGUAACGCGUAAUCAACCCGCCCUUCAGAGGGGGACAACAGUUGGAAACGACUGCUAAUACCGCAUACGAUCUAACCUCGGCAUCGAGGAAAGAUGAAAGGUGGCCUCUAUUUAUAAGCUAUCACUGAAGGAGGGGAUUGCGUCUGAUUAGCUAGUUGGAGGGGUAACGGCCCACCAAGGCGAUGAUCAGUAGCCGGUCUGAGAGGAUGAACGGCCACAUUGGGACUGAGACACGGCCCAGACUCCUACGGGAGGCAGCAGUGGGGAAUCUUCCGCAAUGGACGAAAGUCUGACGGAGCAACGCCGCGUGAGUGAUGACGGCCUUCGGGUUGUAAAGCUCUGUUAAUCGGGACGAAAGGCCUUCUUGCGAACAGUUAGAAG
RNAcentral lists this ribosomal RNA (469 nucleotides) under Veillonella parvula. RNAcentral's name for it is "bacterial SSU rRNA". It matches the Rfam family "Bacterial small subunit ribosomal RNA", at positions 28 to 474 of the family's 1533-position model. The record is from RNAcentral. Lineage: Bacteria; Bacillati; Bacillota; Negativicutes; Veillonellales; Veillonellaceae.